Molecule: ribosomal RNA, 501 nt
Filed under: uncultured bacterium
Lineage: Bacteria
Description: bacterial SSU rRNA
Rfam family: Bacterial small subunit ribosomal RNA
Source: RNAcentral
AACGAACGCUGGCGGCGCGCCUAAUACAUGCAAGUCGAGCGAGAAGGUGUAGCAAUACACUUGUAAAGCGGCGAACGGGUGAGGAAUGCAUGGGUAACCUACCCUCGAGUGGGGAAUAACUAGCCGAAAGGUUAGCUAAUACCGCAUACGUUUCCGGAACUUCGGUUUCGGAAAGAAAGCAAUACCGUGGGUAUUGCGCUCCUGGAUGGGCUCAUGUCCUAUCAGCUUGUUGGUGAGGUAACGGCUCACCAAGGCUUCGACGGGUAGCUGGUCUGAGAGGACGAUCAGCCACACUGGCACUGCGACACGGGCCAGACUCCUACGGGAGGCAGCAGUAAGGAUAUUGCGCAAUGGACGAAAGUCUGACGCAGCGACGCCGCGUGGGGGAUGAAGGUCUUCGGAUUGUAAACCCCUUUCGGGAGGGAAGAUGGAGUGGGUAACCACUUGGACGGUACCUCCAGAAGCAGCCACGGGCUAACUUCGUGCCAGCAGCCGCGGUAA